CAGGGACAGGGCUUGUCUGCCUUCCCUAGGCCUGUGUGCCCGUGCCUCACACUGCCAUGAGAUGAGGAAGACACAGUCAUUAAACGGGAUGAAAGUGUACCUGUCUCAACAACUGGCUUCCUGCUCACAGGUCGAGAGCGAUCUUGGCUGUUGAAAAUAUGUGGAUCGGCAGAUGUCUCUAUUUGGUCACCAGAGGAUUUCAGCACUGAGAGCAUGUACUGAAAAUGGAAGAGAGGUAGGAUUUUUUUUUUUAAGUGGGAACAAACAAAUGAACAAAAAAGUGAGUAAAAAGUGGGGCCAGGCAUGGUGGCUCACUCCAGUAACCCCAGCAUUUUGGGAGGCUGAGGCAGGAGAAUCACUUGGGCCCAGGAGUUCAAGACCAGCCUGGGCAACAUAGUGAGACACUGUCUUUACAAAAAAAAAAAAAAAUUAGCCAGGUGUGGUGGCACGUACCUGUGAUUCCAGCUACUCAAGAGGCUGAGGUGGGAGGAUUGCUUGAGCUUGGGAAGUUGAGGCUUCAGUGAGCCAAGAUUGAGCCACUGCAUUCCAGCCUGGGCAACAGAGCAAGACCCUUUCUGGCAAAAAAAAAAAAAAAAAGAA
Molecule: long non-coding RNA, 600 nt
Filed under: Homo sapiens (human)
Lineage: Eukaryota; Metazoa; Chordata; Mammalia; Primates; Hominidae
Description: HSALNT0259971
Source: RNAcentral